Long non-coding RNA from Olea europaea var. sylvestris, 1040 nucleotides. RefSeq lists it as uncharacterized. NCBI's taxonomy places the organism in Eukaryota, Viridiplantae, Streptophyta, Magnoliopsida, Lamiales, Oleaceae. The record is from RefSeq and is a predicted model, not a curated record. The transcript has 3 exons.
AUGAUGACAAGUCUAUUAGGUUAAAUUCGGUAGAAUUUCAAUAAUUAUAUAAUAAUUUGCACACAUGGAGUGAAUAACCACUAUGAAUUAUGGAGAAUUGUAAUCAACCUCUAGUUUGGAAAUUAAUGACUUGUGUCGUCAAACUGUUUACUCGGUAUCUUUGUGAAUUCUGCACUGAUCUGUAGUUUUUCGUUGAUUCCCAUUAGAUGAUUUGUCUGUUAGCUUGUUUUUUAGGAUUCCCGGAAGGCACUAGACGAACUACAGGUUUCCUAGUUCUAAUUGUUAGGUCAACUCUCCAGGAUCAAGAUUGGGAGUAGGAUCAAGCUCUUACAUGUUGAUGUUCAUGGUUUUGCUUCAGGUCAACUCGGUAAUUAUUGGACAGCUUUAGUCAAACCCGAGCUAGUUGUCUCAUUAACAACUAAAAAAAUUGCAUCAUUCGACUUUUAACCAUACCCAGAGUUCACUUUUCAAAUCGUCGACAUGGCCAACCAUGUCAGGUUUAGGAGCAACUGUCAAAGUGGAAUAUCAUCUAUCAUUUAAGUAGAAAAUAUUGUUAGUUGAGGAUGUCUGAGAAAUAAUCCUAACCAUCAUUUUCCUAACAUCAGUAUGAGUAAGAUCCCUUGCAUUCUUGUUCCUUGUUUCUUGGUCACUUCUAUUACAAUCUUGUAAUGUUCUCACAUAUGGUCUAACUGAGACUAUUUUUAGUUAUGAAACAUUGAUAUCUCUUGCCUUUUGGUAUUAAUUUCACCUUUUUACAUUUGCCGGUCGGAUAGGAUUAUUACCUUUGUUCAAAUGAUGUUUAGGUUAUUUUAGCAAUGAAGAGGCUACGGCAUCAACCCUAGAUUCAGAGGGGUGGUUGAAAACUGGAGAUUUGUGCUAUGUUGAUGAGGACGGCUUCAUUUUUGUGGUUGAUCGAUUGAAGGAGCUGAUCAAGUAUAAGGGAUACCAGGUUCCUCCGGCAGAAUUAGAGGCUUUGUUACUCACUCACCCGGAAAUUGUUGAUGCAGCUGUUAUACCGUAAGUAACUUCAAGUUCCAGUU